UCAAUAGCCUAACGGCUGAACCAGCAACUUGUAAGAAUGUAUAGCGAAAGCUAACUGUAUUAACUAAUAGUUAGUAUAGUAUCGACUAUGUCGACUAAAAUUCUGGGUAGAGUAUUGAUAAUGACAUUAUCUGCUCAUAAGUCUUGACCAAAUCACGUGCCAGCAGUCGCGGCAAUACGUGGAAGACUAGUGUUAUUCAUCUUUAAUAGGUUUAAAGGGUACCUAGACGGUAGAUCUAGCCCCAAAGGGUACAGAUAUACUAGAGUUUGAUGAGAGGGGGGGAGUACUAGCGGAGUAGAGAUGAAAUUUUUUGAUACCGAUACAUGAGACAGGUAUAGGCGAAAGCAACCCCUUAUGUAAAAA
Molecule: ribosomal RNA, 363 nt
Filed under: Fuscidea austera
Lineage: Eukaryota; Fungi; Ascomycota; Lecanoromycetes; Umbilicariales; Fuscideaceae
Description: SSU rRNA
Rfam family: Bacterial small subunit ribosomal RNA
Source: RNAcentral